RNAcentral lists this ribosomal RNA (442 nucleotides) under uncultured bacterium. RNAcentral's name for it is "bacterial SSU rRNA". It matches the Rfam family "Bacterial small subunit ribosomal RNA", at positions 88 to 518 of the family's 1533-position model. The record is from RNAcentral.
GGUGAGAGUGGCGGAAGGGCGAGGAACACGUGGGCGAACCUGCUUUGAGGUGGGGAAGACCGCUGGAAACGGCGGCUAAUACCGAAUGUAGCGCCCGCUCGCAUGAGCGGAGCGCCAAAGGGGGCGAAAGCUCCCCCUCUUCGAGGGGCCCGCGCACCAUCAGCUUGUUGGCGGGGUAACGGCCCACCAAGGCUCACGGUUAGCUGGUCUGAGAGGAUGGCCAGCCGCACUGGGACUGAGAUACUGCCCAGACUCCUACGGGAGGCUGCAGUCGAGGAUCAUUUGCAAUGGGCGAAAGCCUGACAAUGCGGCGCUGCGUGGAGGAUGAAGGCCCUCGGGUUGUAAACUCCUGUCAUGGGGGAAAAGGAAACCCUGCCCAAUACGCAGGGAAUUUGAUGGUACCCCAAGAGGAAGCGACGGCUAACUCUGUGCCAGCAGCGGC